GACGAACGCUGGCGGCGUGCUUAACACAUGCAAGUCGAACGGAAAGGCCCUGCUUUUGUGGGGUGCUCGAGUGGCGAACGGGUGAGUAACACGUGAGUAACCUGCCCUUGACUUUGGGAUAACUUCAGGAAACUGGGGCUAAUACCGGAUAGGAGCUCCUGCUGCAUGGUGGGGGUUGGAAAGUUUCGGCGGUUGGGGAUGGACUCGCGGCUUUUCAGCUUGUUGGUGGGGUAGUGGCUUACCAAGGCCUUGACGGGUAGCCGGCCUGAGAGGGUGACCGGCCACAUUGGGACUGAGAUACGGCCCAGACUCCUACGGGAGGCAGCAGUGGGGAAUAUUGCACAAUGGGCGGAAGCCUGAUGCAGCAACGCCGCGUGCGGGAUGACGGCCUUCGGGUUGUAACCCGCUUUCGCCUGUGACGAAGCGUGAGUGAUGGUAAUGGGUAAAGAAGCACCGGCUAACUACGUG
This 468-nucleotide ribosomal RNA is filed under the name uncultured bacterium. Its description in RNAcentral is "partial 16S ribosomal RNA". It matches the Rfam family "Bacterial small subunit ribosomal RNA", at positions 28 to 507 of the family's 1533-position model. The record is from RNAcentral.